UACAGAGACUGCAAGCGUUAUUCGGAUUCACUGGGCGUAAAGCGCGCGCAGGCGGUGCGGUAAGUCUGUCGUGAAAUCUCCCGGCUCAACUGGGAGGGUGCGGUGGAGACUGCCGGACUGGAGGCACUCAGAGGCCGGUGGAAUUCCCGGUGUAGUGGUGAAAUGCGUAGAGAUCGGGAGGAACACCAGUGGCGAAGGCGGCCGGCUGGGGGUGACCUGACGCUGAGGCGCGAAAGCGUGGGGAGCGAACCGG
This 253-nucleotide ribosomal RNA is filed under the name uncultured bacterium. RNAcentral describes it as "partial 16S ribosomal RNA". It matches the Rfam family "Bacterial small subunit ribosomal RNA", at positions 524 to 776 of the family's 1533-position model. The record is from RNAcentral.